AUAACUCCGGAAUAGCCUUUCGAAAGAAAGAUUAAUACCGGAUAGCAUACGAAUAUCGCAUGAUAUUUUUAUUUAAAGAAUUUCGGUUAUCGAUGGGGAUGCGUUCCAUUAGUUUGUUGGCGGGGUAACGGCCCACCAAGACUACGAUGGAUAGGGGUUCUGAGAGGAAGGUCCCCCACAUUGGAACUGAGACACGGUCCAAACUCCUACGGGAGGCAGCAUG
Molecule: ribosomal RNA, 223 nt
Filed under: uncultured bacterium
Lineage: Bacteria
Description: partial 16S ribosomal RNA
Rfam family: Bacterial small subunit ribosomal RNA
Source: RNAcentral